UACGAAGGGGGCUAGCGUUGCUCGGAAUCACUGGGCGUAAAGGGUGCGUAGGCGGGUCUUUAAGUCAGGGGUGAAAUCCUGGAGCUCAACUCCAGAACUGCCUUUGAUACUGAAGAUCUUGAGUCCGGGAGAGGUGAGUGGAACUGCGAGUGUAGAGGUGAAAUUCGUAGAUAUUCGCAAGAACACCAGUGGCGAAGGCGGCUCACUGGCCCGGUACUGACGCUGAGGCACGAAGGCGUGGGGAGCAAACAGG
This 253-nucleotide ribosomal RNA is filed under the name uncultured bacterium. RNAcentral's name for it is "partial 16S ribosomal RNA". It matches the Rfam family "Bacterial small subunit ribosomal RNA", at positions 524 to 776 of the family's 1533-position model. The record is from RNAcentral.